CAGGCGGUGCAUGGCUGUCGUCAGCUCGUGUCGUGAGAUGUUGGGUUAAGUCCCGCAACGAGCGCAACCCUUGCCCUUUGUUACCAGAACGUAAGUUCUGGCUCCUGAGGGGACUGCCGCAGACAAUGCGGAGGAAGGUGGGGACGACGUCAAGUCCGCAUGCCCCUUAUGUCUUGGGCAACACACGUGCUACAAUGGUCGGUACAAAGGGACGCCAAACCGUAAGGUGGAGCAAAUCCCAUAAAACCGGUCUCAGUUCGGAUCGAGGUCUGAAACCCGACCUCGUGAAGCUGGAAUCGCUAGUAAUCGCGAAUCAGAAAUGUCGCGGUGAAUACGUUCUCGGGCCUUGUACACACCGCCCGUCACGUCAACUGAGUUGGAGAUACCCGAAGUCAUUUGCUUAACCGGGAGGGUAACCUUUUGGAGAGCGGUGCCGAAGGUAUGUUUAGCAAGGAGGACGAAGUCGUAACAAGGCAGCCGUACGGGAACGUGUGGCUGGAUCACCUCCUUU
Molecule: ribosomal RNA, 511 nt
Filed under: Candidatus Omnitrophota bacterium
Lineage: Bacteria; Pseudomonadati; Candidatus Omnitrophota
Description: bacterial SSU rRNA
Rfam family: Bacterial small subunit ribosomal RNA
Source: RNAcentral